ACUUGCAAUAAAUGAUCUAUGACUUGCAUCAGACUAAAGGGUGUGCAGUGGUUCUUCAAUAUCACUGACUGUGGAGCAUAUCCAUUCAAUUUUGCACCUCACAGCUUGGGACAUCGAGCGCAACCCAAAAAUGUUCUCCAAGAAAUACAAAUUAUACUGAAGCUUUUCCCACAAAACACCACAUCAAUCUGCUCAGCUCCUCCUGCUCUAUAACGUGCUGCCUGCAGUUCACUUCACAUUUUCAUGGUGACCGGUUCCCUUUAAGAUAUGCCUCCUCACCAAACGUGGCACACGGAGUGUCUAAACACAUGAUAAAUAUGGUGCAAGGCAUUUCAGCCAGUUUUUUUAUGCAAACUCAAGCCAGAAAUCAGGCGUACCAAGCUUAGUAAAUCCCCCCCUCUGUGUUCACAGUGG
Molecule: long non-coding RNA, 414 nt
Organism: Bufo bufo (common toad)
Lineage: Eukaryota; Metazoa; Chordata; Amphibia; Anura; Bufonidae
Exons: 3
Source: RefSeq, a predicted model, not a curated record